Molecule: ribosomal RNA, 244 nt
Filed under: uncultured bacterium
Lineage: Bacteria
Description: partial 16S ribosomal RNA
Rfam family: Bacterial small subunit ribosomal RNA
Source: RNAcentral
GACGAACGCUGGCGGCGUGCUUAACACAUGCAAGUCGAGCGGUAAGGCCCUUUCGGGGGUACGACGAGCGGCGGAACGGGUGGAGUAACACGUGGGUGACCUCGCCCUCCAGCUCUGGGAGUAAGACCUGGGAAACCGGGUACUAAUACCGGAUAUGACUCCAUGACGCAUGUUGGUGGGGUGGAAAGCCUUGUGCGGCUGAGGAGUGGGCCCGGCGGCCUAUCAGCUUGUUGGGUGGGGGUGA